UACGUAUGGUGCAAGCGUUGUUCGGAAUCAUUGGGCGUAAAGGGUGUGUAGGCGGAUUAACAAGUCAGAUGUGAAACCUUCGAGCUCAACUCGAAGCCUGCAUUUGAAACUGUUGGUCUGGAAUCUGGGAGAGGCAAGUGGAAUUUCUGGUGUAGCGGUGAAAUGCGUAGAUAUCAGAAGGAACACCGAUGGCGAAGGCAACUUGCUGGCCUAAGAUUGACGCUGAAACACGAAAGCGUGGGUAGUGAACGGG
RNAcentral lists this ribosomal RNA (253 nucleotides) under uncultured bacterium. RNAcentral describes it as "partial 16S ribosomal RNA". It matches the Rfam family "Bacterial small subunit ribosomal RNA", at positions 524 to 776 of the family's 1533-position model. The record is from RNAcentral.